GUGAUUGCAGAUUCAGUGAUCAUCGAAUCUUUGAACGCACAUUGCGCCCUUUGGUAUUCCAUAGGGGCAUGCCUGUUCGAGCGUCACUAACAACCCCAUCACAAAAGAGUGUGGUAUUGGCAGAAGUGGGUAGGGCUAGCAGUGCUGGCCCCACUCUGCUGGAAUGAAUAGGCCGGAAAUGUAGACCAUGGUAACAGACUUUCRGAGUAUUUUGCAAUGCUAAAUUAGUUUGUAGGCUUGGUCAGAAUCUAGGCCAUUUGGACCCCCAUUCUGCGUAAAGCAGUAAAUGUUGACCUCGGAUCAGGUAGGGAUACCCGCUGAACUUAAGCAUAUCAAUAAGCGGAGGAAAAGAAACCAACAGGGAUUGCCUUAGUAACGGCGAGUGAAGCGGCAAAAGCUCAAAUUUGAAAUCUGACACCUUUGGUGUUCGAGUUGUAAUUUGGAGAGGCAUCUUCUGGAGGGGCCCAGCCUAUGUGCCUUGGAACAGGACGUCAUAGAGGGUGAGAAUCCCGUACUUGACUGGAUGUUCCCUCCUGUAUGUAGUGUCUUCUACGAGUCGAGUUGUUUGGGAAUGCAGCUCAAAAUGGGUGGUNAAUUUCAUCUAAAGCUAAAUAUUGGCGAGAGACCGAUAGCGC
RNAcentral lists this ribosomal RNA (635 nucleotides) under Tuber sp. GB-1. RNAcentral's name for it is "eukaryotic LSU rRNA". The stretch from base 291 to 635 matches the Rfam family "Eukaryotic large subunit ribosomal RNA", at positions 1 to 343 of the family's 3401-position model. Lineage: Eukaryota; Fungi; Ascomycota; Pezizomycetes; Pezizales; Tuberaceae. The record is from RNAcentral.